CACAAAUCAGAUUUAGAAANUGAACUGUUUCAAAGUUGGAAGGCAAGUGCAGAAUUUUCCUCUCGGCCAAGACUACUUAGCUUUGGGUGCAACCUCACAAACUCAAUUUCUGAACUGUUUCAGGUUAUUUUCACUCCACUAGCAAGUUUCUUUUGGAUGAUAUACACUCAAUCUCACCAACACUCAACUCUUUGGCUUGUAUCUCAAUAUUUGGGUGGUGAAGUUGCCAAAAAUUCAGUGUUUUAUGCUGCUGAAAAGUGAAAAUUAUGCUUGCUGGACAACACACUUGAAUUCUAAAAUUCAGGUUCCUCUCCACUUCCUAAGAUGCUACCUUGGUAGGGAAAGGGUUCUGCAACUUGAAUGCACCAAUUAGACUUCACAAAACCAUUGAAAUCAUCCAAAACAGUCACCAAACAGAUUAGAAAUCUACACUGGUUUCAACACCAAAAUUUGACUUGAAUUGGACAAUUUAAGAGGCCAAAAAGCUUAAAAGCAAUAAAAUAGGUUUAUAACAG
Molecule: long non-coding RNA, 515 nt
Filed under: Vigna radiata
Lineage: Eukaryota; Viridiplantae; Streptophyta; Magnoliopsida; Fabales; Fabaceae
Description: long non-coding RNA (VRAD_LNC016226)
Source: RNAcentral